Tyto alba (common barn owl) is the source of this 846-nucleotide long non-coding RNA. RefSeq lists it as uncharacterized. The record is from RefSeq and is a predicted model, not a curated record. NCBI's taxonomy places the organism in Eukaryota, Metazoa, Chordata, Aves, Strigiformes, Tytonidae. The transcript is spliced from 2 exons.
GGCGGGGCGGAGAGGUUGAUGGCAGAAGGGGACCAGCUGUGGUGUUCCCCCCCACAAAAAAAAAAAAAAAAAAAAAAAAACCGAAAUCGUUUUUUUUUUUUUUUUACAGCGGUGUGAGGAAAAGUGGGUGCCAGCUGGGUGGAGGAGUCGGGUGUCAGCCCUCUCUGCAGCCAUCGCUGUCACUGGGUUUCCCCACACCGCGGGACCUGUCGCAUCCUCAGGCGGCUCAUACCCAGACAGACACCAAAUGUUUGCUGUCAGGACCUUGCCGUUAAAUCUUCACUUGAGGGUCAAGCCCUUUAAUUCUUCUUCGUGCUGAUCUCGCCAGGUGGGCGCUUUUGGUUUGGAGAUGGUGGUUGUGGGCUGUUGGGUCCCCACGGUGUUGCCACAUAUAGCAGGUGUGGGCAACGCUGCAUCGGCAGCCUUGCAUGCUCGCAUAGAAGCUGCAGGAUUAGGCCUGUGCUGCGAGGAAUGGGAAUCUGAGAAAUCAGAGAGGAAGUUUGUAACAGAAUCCUUUGACAGUGAAGAGACUCCUCAAGGACACAGGAAGGAACAAAUUUGACUUUAAUGCCAGAAGACUUCUAGGGGAUACUUAUCCUUUGCAGCAGGAAAAAGUGAUUUCUUACAUUUCUGCCUCUUCUAAUUUCAGUAAUCCCUCCAGUGUCAUAGCUAAGAAAGAGAAGACUUUUGUGAAUUUCUUCUGGAACUGCAAUUUUUUGCAUGUGGUGUAAUUUUUUGCCAGUGAGAGAUAAAUUGAUGGGAUGUUUUGGGCAUCUUUUGGGGAGUAGAACCUUGGAAGGUCACCUGUAUGGAGGCAGGUAUAUAAAUAAUUACAUAUAAAGCUGA